AGUGAACGCUGGCGGCAGGCCUAACACAUGCAAGUCGAACGGCAGCACAGAGGAGCUUGCUCCUUGGGUGGCGAGUGGCGGACGGGUGAGGAAUACAUCGGAAUCUGCCUAGUCGUGGGGGAUAACGUAGGGAAACUUACGCUAAUACCGCAUACGACCUACGGGUGAAAGCGGGGGAUCGCAAGACCUCGCGCGAUUAGAUGAGCCGAUGUCCGAUUAGCUAGUUGGCGGGGUAAUGGCCCACCAAGGCGACGAUCGGUAGCUGGUCUGAGAGGAUGAUCAGCCACACUGGAACUGAGACACGGUCCAGACUCCUACGGGAGGCAGCAGUGGGGAAUAUUGGACAAUGGGCGCAAGCCUGAUCCAGCCAUGCCGCGUGGGUGAAGGAGGCCUUCGGGUUGUAAAGCCCUUUUGUCCGGAAAUGAAAAGCACUGGAUUAAUACUUCGGUGUUCUGACGGUACCGGAAGUAUAAGCACCGGCUAACUUCGUGCCAGCAGCCGCGGUAAUACGAAGGGUGCAAGCGUUACUCGGAAUUACUGGGCGUAAAGCGUGCGUAGGUGGUUCGUUAAGUCUGAUGUGAAAGCCCCUGGGCUCAACCUGGGAAUUGCAUUGGAUACUGGCGGGCUAGAGUGCGGUAGAGGAUGGCGGAAUUCCCGGUGUAGCAGUGAAAUGCGUAGAGAUCGGGAGGAACAUCUGUGGCGAAGGCGGCCAUCUGGGACCAGCACUGACANUGAGGGCACGAAAAGCGUGGGGGAGCAAAAC
Molecule: ribosomal RNA, 763 nt
Filed under: uncultured bacterium
Lineage: Bacteria
Description: bacterial SSU rRNA
Rfam family: Bacterial small subunit ribosomal RNA
Source: RNAcentral